RNAcentral lists this ribosomal RNA (491 nucleotides) under uncultured bacterium. RNAcentral describes it as "partial 16S ribosomal RNA". It matches the Rfam family "Bacterial small subunit ribosomal RNA", at positions 29 to 507 of the family's 1533-position model. The record is from RNAcentral.
AGUGAACGCUGGCGGUAGGCCUAACACAUGCAAGUCGAACGGCAGCACAGUAAGAGCUUGCUCUUACGGGUGGCGAGUGGCGGAUGGGUGAGGAAUACAUCGGAAUCUACUUUUUCGUGGGGGAUAACGUAGGGAAACUUACGCUAAUACCGCAUACGACCUACGGGUGAAAGCAGGGGAUCUUCGGACCUUGCGCGAUUGAAUGAGCCGAUGUCGGAUUAGCUAGUUGGCGGGGUAAAGGCCCACCAAGGCGACGAUCCGUAGCUGGUCUGAGAGGAUGAUCGGCCAACCUGAAACUAGACCACGUUCCGGACUCCAAGGGGAGGCACAGUGGGGAAUAUUUGACCAAGGGGCGCAGGCCGAUUCCGCCCUUACCGCUGGGUGAAGAAGGCCUUCGGGUUGUAAAGCCCUUUUGUUGGGAAAGAAAAGCAGCAGGUUAAUACCCCGCUGUUCUGACGGUACCCAAAGAAUAAGCACCGGCUAACUUCGUG